AUUGAACGCUGGCGGAAUGCUUAACACAUGCAAGUCGAGCGGGCUGUAGCAAUACAGCUAGCGGCGGACGGGUGAGGAAUACAUAGGAAUCUGCCUCAGAGUGGGGGAUAGCCCGGGGAAACCCGGAUUAAUACCGCAUGAUGUCGUAAGACCAAAGCAGGGGACCGUAAGGCCUUGCGCUUUGAGAUGAGCCUAUGUCGGAUUAGCUAGUUGGCGGGGUAAAAGCCCACCAAGGCGACGAUCCGUAGCUGGUCUGAGAGGACGAUCAGCCACACUGGGACUGAGACACGGCCCAGACUCCUACGGGAGGCAGCAGUGGGGAAUCUUGCGCAAUGCGCGAAAGCGUGACGCAGCAACGCCGCGUGCGGGAAGACGGCCUCGGUGUAACGUACGUU
This 395-nucleotide ribosomal RNA is filed under the name uncultured bacterium. RNAcentral describes it as "bacterial SSU rRNA". It matches the Rfam family "Bacterial small subunit ribosomal RNA", at positions 29 to 436 of the family's 1533-position model. The record is from RNAcentral.